GAGCGGCGAACGGGUGAGUAACACGUGAGUAACCUGCCCUAGGCUUUGGGAUAACCCUCGGAAACGGGGGCUAAUACCGGAUAUUCAUGCUGGACGGCAUCGUCUGGUGUGGAAAGUUUUUCGGCCUGGGAUGGGCUCGCGGCCUAUCAGCUUGUUGGUGGGGUGAUGGCCUACCAAGGCGACGACGGGUAGCCGGCCUGAGAGGGCGACCGGCCACACUGGGACUGAGACACGGCCCAGACUCCUACGGGAGGCAGCAGUGGGGAAUAUUGCACAAUGGGCGGAAGCCUGAUGCAGCGACGCCGCGUGAGGGAUGAAGGCCUUCGGGUUGUAAACCUCUUUCGACAGGGACGAAGCGUGAGUGACGGUACCUGGAGAAGAAGCGCCGGCCAACUACGUGCCAGCAGCCGCGGUAAGACGUAGGGCGCGAGCGUUGUCCGGAUUUAUUGGGCGUAAAGAGCUCGUAGGCGGCUUGUUGCGUCAGCUGUGAAAACCCGCAGCUCAACUGUGGGCUUGCAGCUGAUACGGGCAGGCUUGAGUUCGGUAGGGGAGACUGGAAUUCCU
RNAcentral lists this ribosomal RNA (564 nucleotides) under Dactylosporangium sp. 384H07. Its description in RNAcentral is "bacterial SSU rRNA". It matches the Rfam family "Bacterial small subunit ribosomal RNA", at positions 93 to 671 of the family's 1533-position model. Lineage: Bacteria; Bacillati; Actinomycetota; Actinomycetes; Micromonosporales; Micromonosporaceae. The record is from RNAcentral.